AGAAAGGGAAGAUGUGUGGGGAAGAGGUGUGAGGAAGUGGUUAUUUGUGUAAAGGGAAGAAGAUGAGCAGAGCAGAAACGGGGCCAAAGAAAGACGACCCAAGAAGUCAAGAAGGACCAGGAGAAUGAAGUGUCAGGAAGCUGUGGGAGAAUAGAGAAGUAAAGAGGCUGGGGUCAAAAGCCACAGGAGACUUCUGCUGAGAAGAAAGAGGGGAAAAUGGAGAGGCUGAAGACACAGAGGAGAGGAGCUGGCCUGAGGUGGCUGAAGGUAUAGCAUCCCAGAAGAGAGGCUGGACUGGAAAGCAGGAGGGACACCCCACCAGCAGAAGGAGGUAAGGAGGCCUGUGGGUCAUAUGCAUUUCUUCCAAGUAGAAAUUUAAGUAGACCAGCCCCAGUGGUCUCUAUUUUCUCAGUAACAUAAGGGGUGAGGUGGACUGCUGAGAGUCAGAGAUGAGACUGUGCGUAGGGGAUUUGAGGCCAGUGGUGUUAUGUUUUAGGCUCGCCAAUGACUGAUGGAUGAGAGAAGAAGUUGAACAAGAACAAGAACAGAAUGGCUCAGCAGGCUGGUGGUGGAGAUAGUCAGUCAGGAUCCUGACAGGAAGCAAACAGCACAUUCAAGUGGGAUAAUUGAGGAGAGUUUGGGGAAGAGACUACCUACCAAGCUGUGAGCAGGGUUAAGGGAAAUGCAUUAAGAAUGUGAAGCACCCCCAGUUCCCGUCAUGGUUCAGUGGUUAACGAAUCUGACUAGGAAGCAUGAGGUUGCGGGUUUGAUCCCUGGCCUUGCUCAGUGGGUUAAGGAUCCGGUGUUGCCAUGAGCUGUGGUGUAGGCCGGUGGCUACAGCUCCAAUUGGACGACUAGCCUAAGAACGUCCAUAUGCUGCAAGAGCUGCCCAAGAAAUGGCAAAAAGACAAAAAAAGAAAAAAAAGAAUGUGAAGCACCCAAGGACUAGCGAGAGUGAGGAAACUUUACCACACCUAGGUCUCAAGAGGCAAGAGGAGGAACAGAUUCCAGACCUCAGAGAAAAAGGAUAUCCCUUAGAGGAGAGGACUGUCACUGGAGCCCAUAGGAUGCAGGUGUUGAAGUUACCUGCCAGCCAGGCAGCCUUCUGUCUCCAGGUUCUGGGGUCCCUCGUCAGUGGGAGUGGAUAGCAGGCUUAAACUCACAGGACACAGUGGAGGGCAAGCUAACUAGGUGGACCGCAGAGACCCACAGGUGUCCUGCCUUUAAGCACUGAGACCUUGGCUGCUAGGUAAUCGCCUCAAGAUCCACCCAGGGAUUUCCCAUCUAACUUAAUGGGACAAAAUUUAGGAAUAAAGAGAACAGACCCUCACA
Molecule: long non-coding RNA, 1332 nt
Filed under: Sus scrofa (pig)
Lineage: Eukaryota; Metazoa; Chordata; Mammalia; Artiodactyla; Suidae
Description: lncRNA (ENSSSCG00015059001.1)
Source: RNAcentral